RNAcentral lists this long non-coding RNA (3079 nucleotides) under Mytilus galloprovincialis (Mediterranean mussel). Lineage: Eukaryota; Metazoa; Mollusca; Bivalvia; Mytilida; Mytilidae. The record is from RNAcentral.
CUCGAUGGGCGUUUACGAAGCACUAGGUGUCAAAGAAAAACCAAGCAUUUAUGCUAAAAUGGAAAACCAGAAAGGUAGCGAUAAUAGAAAUUUAAAAGAAAAAUUAACUGAUAAGAUAAGAUACCUUUGAUGAUGAGUCUUUUGUAGACGAAACGCGCGUCUGGCUUAUAUACUAAAUUUAGUCUGGUAUCUAUGAUAAGUUUAUUUGACCAUCAUUUUAUGAUCGUUUCGCCAUAUAGGUUUUUCUAUCCUUGGCCAAGAACGUUCCAUAUGAAUAUGAUUUCAGAAAUACGUUCCAAGUGCAUAUACACUGCCAAUUUGUUAUUUUCAUUACUUAUUCUAUAGUUUAUAAGAUGUUUCUAUUUAAAACGAUUAUUUUUCUUUCGACUAUUGCAAUUAACAGAAUAUCAUUUUGUUUUUUAUCGAUUAUGACGUAAUCAAAUUCAAUCCAAUCGACAUGGAAAUACAUUGUUGGAUUAUAAUCAAAUGUACUUGUCGUUGUUUUAGGUUUGAAUUCGGUAAAAGUUAUUUCCAAGUGUUCAAAAUGUGUACCUUUCAGUUUAAAAUUUAGAUAUCAUUAUUACAAAACAAAACAAAAUAUGGUUGGUAUCUACAGUUAAAAGUAAUGCAUCAGUGUUAUUUUCAUUUUAGAACAGAAGCAACUUAAUACGUGAGUACUACUUAAAACCGAUAAAUAUAACUUUGAAACGGCAACAAUACAAACGCUCCAAAUUGUAUGUUUUUUUAAUUUUCCGUCGUGGAAUCCGUUUGUGAUGUUUUUAUCGAGUCCACUCCAAAAUAUGUUAGGAUAGCUCCGUUUUGGGGACGUUCACAAAUAUAUAUUUCAGGCAGAAUUUUUGUUCCCGAUAUGAUUUAUAGACGGAUUUGUAUGUCUUGUUGGGUGCUUAUUUUCAAAUAUAUGUUAAUUUUCCAGAAGUUAAUCAAUAUUAUAGAUAUUCAAAUUUAUUCUAUUUACUCGGGUUAUUGUUUCAGAAAUAACUUGAGCGUCGACGAGAUUUGUGUUAACUCAAGGUAAAGAAAGCGAUUAAGAACAUUGCAGUAUCUAAUAAUUAUUUCAAAAUAUAUACGCAAGUGAUUUGUGUAAGGGUUCAAUAGAUAUAUUCGUACCGUGAUAAAUUAACGGAUACGCAAGUCCCAAUUAGUAUGUUAAAUCAAUUUUUCCUCGCCUUUUACCUUUAUUGGGCCUUGAACCUGGAAGUAGUUUUUCAAUCAUUACUCUUACUUAUCGGACCACAGAUAAAUUGUCACGUUGUGAUUAGUUAAACGCCGUCACGUGGUGACCCCCUAUGAGACCGUAGGGGGUUAGUAAGUUUCAUAGGGGUUCAUGACGCGUUAAUGGUGACGUCAUCUAUUAAUGUUGUGUGUUUCAUUGUUUAUUUUUCAAAACGCAGCAGAAAAAGUCCAACGUCUGAUAAAUUCGUUAUACGGUUAACUACUGACCCCUACGGAUCCAUAGCGGGUGAAUAAAAUUCAUAGGGGAUUCGACAUCCGGCCUCACCCCCUAUGGAUUUUAUUAACCCUCUAUGGAUCUGUAGGGGUCAGUAGCUAACCAUAUAACUUAUAAUGUAGAGUUAUUUCUGCGAGGUCAUGAUGCGUUUUGAAUGCGGUUUUUCCUAAAGUUCCUAACUUGUGUACUGUUCAGACCAGCCAUAGAUAACUAUGACAUAUGUAUAUAGAAUCGUACAUUUAGAAAACAUAACAAUCGUAAGUAUUCUUCUAACGGAAUAUGGAUGAAUCGUUAAAUCAAUAGUAGACAGCAAGCCUUGAUUCGUAUAUAAAAUGUGUAUUAAAGGCGGAAUCACACGCCUUCCUUAGCACAAGUUUUAACAGGACGAUUAAGAGAUGUAGAGUAGAUUUCUUUAAAUAACUAAAUGUUCAUGAAAUAUAAGGUAAAUUUAAUGAGCCAGCAAACCAGGAAUCGACAUAUAAACAUCCAUAUACUAAUUAAUGGCUGUUUAUUAUGUAAUAUUCUGCAAUUCCAAUUUUUUUGAUAUCAAUCUGAGUUUAUUCGUUAAUUUAAAAAAGUGAUUACUCCGACAUUCCUAUCUGUAAUGUUUCUUUAAAAUAUAAUUCAUAAUUGAGAAGUACUUUAUAUUUGUAGACAGCACGAGGGUAAACACCAAUUUAAGAAACCGAAUGAUCACAACGACAGCAUAGAACUAAAUACAACACAAGGUUAGUGUUUCCUAAUAUUACAGUGAAAAUUUGAACUCAUUAGAUCAGUACCUGAAAUAUGAAUUGUCCCUCAGUCAUGGAUCAUUUACAAGUUAUGACAUAUGACUUUCAUACGAAAAAAACAAAUGUAGAAUUUACUUUCUUGUUCUUGUUUACAUAACACAAUGAAAAGUUUCUGCAAAAUGUGUGUUAAAGUGAUAUGAUUGGUGUAGGUCUAAGACUCCGAAAACUCUCAAUAACUUUUUCUUUCUUGCUGUCAUUUAAGCUUUUUAAUAUGUUACUGUUUAUUUAUAAUGAAACAUGUGGUAAAAUCACUCUGUUUAAUGCUGGUUACAAAUAUUUAACAACAUCCAAUCACUUAUCAUUUUAGAACGUUAAUGGAUAAAGACGCUAUGCAUAUACAAAACUCUUAGUGCGCAUUUGAUGCUAAUUCCCGUGUUUUUUUGUAAUUUCAAAGAAUAUAAUUUGUAUUGUGUUAUAUUUUUAAUCAGUUUUUGAAUUUCAAGUAUAUCAAAUCGUCCUGGCUUUUUUGUAUCACGUAUACAUAUACGAUAACACACACUUGUUAAAUAUUGAAGACCGAACUGUCUAUUUAUAUAUUAAUUUUAAAUGAUAAUCUAUACUUGUUUUGGAAAUUUCUUCAUCUUUUUUAACUCCCUGGCUAUUUCCUUUAAUUUCAGAACGAACAGAGAAAGUUUAUGAAAAUGAAGUAUUCUGAUGCAGAUAUAUCCACAGCUUGUUUACUAAAAAGAUAGAACACCAAGAGAUACACACGAAUCUUCUGACACCACAUAAAUUACGUGUUUAGAAAAUUGUUUUAUGUAUAUAGUUAUAUUUGUAAAUAUCAUUCAAUAUUGUUAUGCAAAUAUUUGUGCAAAAACGG